Molecule: ribosomal RNA, 253 nt
Filed under: uncultured bacterium
Lineage: Bacteria
Description: partial 16S ribosomal RNA
Rfam family: Bacterial small subunit ribosomal RNA
Source: RNAcentral
UACGAAGGGGGCUAGCGUUGCUCGGAAUCACUGGGCGUAAAGGGUGCGUAGGCGGGUUUUUAAGUCAGGGGUGAAAUCCUGGAGCUCAACUCCAGAACUGCCUUUGAUACUGAAGAUCUUGAGUUCGGGAGAGGUGAGUGGAACUGCGAGUGUAGAGGUGAAAUUCGUAGAUAUUCGCAAGAACACCAAUGGCGAAGGCGGCUCACUGGCCCGAUACUGACGCUGAGGCACGAAAGCGUGGGGAGCAAACAGG